Molecule: small nucleolar RNA, 80 nt
Organism: Jaculus jaculus (lesser Egyptian jerboa)
Lineage: Eukaryota; Metazoa; Chordata; Mammalia; Rodentia; Dipodidae
Gene: SNORD115
Rfam family: Small nucleolar RNA SNORD115
About the family: HBII-52 is a member of the C/D class of snoRNAs, which contain the C (UGAUGA) and D (CUGA) box motifs. HBII-52 is encoded in a tandemly repeated array with another C/D snoRNA, HBII-85, in the Prader-Willi syndrome (PWS) region of chromosome 15. HBII-52 is exclusively expressed in the brain but is absent in PWS patients.
Source: Ensembl
GUGUCAAUGAUGAUACCCUUUCUGUCAUGAAGAGUGGUGAUGACAUAAAAAUCAUGCUCAAUAGGAUUACGCUGAGGCCC